UGGUCUGAGAGGAUGAUCAGUCACACUGGAACUGAGACACGGUCCAGACUCCUACGGGAGGCAGCAGUGGGGAAUAUUGGACAAUGGGCGAAAGCCUGAUCCAGCCAUGCCGCGUGUGUGAAGAAGGUCUUCGGAUUGUAAAGCACUUUAAGUUGGGAGGAAGGGCAGUAAGUUAAUACCUUGCUGUUUUGACGUUACCAACAGAAUAAGCACCGGCUAACUUCGUGCCAGCAGCCGCGGUAAU
Molecule: ribosomal RNA, 244 nt
Filed under: uncultured bacterium
Lineage: Bacteria
Description: partial 16S ribosomal RNA
Rfam family: Bacterial small subunit ribosomal RNA
Source: RNAcentral